This 832-nucleotide long non-coding RNA is filed under the name Brassica napus (rape). RNAcentral's name for it is "long non-coding RNA (BNAP_LNC006075)". Lineage: Eukaryota; Viridiplantae; Streptophyta; Magnoliopsida; Brassicales; Brassicaceae. The record is from RNAcentral.
AAUGUGGUUCAGCUCUAUUUGAUCUUUUGGAACUGGUUUGGUCUUGAGGCAAUGAAGCAUUGUGGCUAUUUAGGAUCUUUGGGUUGGUUCCCAGUUCCUGGUCCAUGCUCUGUUACUUGUCCUCUUUGCUGACAAGUCGCUGAUCGUUCUCUGUCUACGAUAUGGUCUUGUUGCUCGACAUGUGGUCUUAUUGGUGGUUUGUUAAGUGUGAAGCUCCAAUGCUGUGAAGUAUGCUGUCCUUUCGGUUUAAACCGACGGGUUCUCCGAAUAUCUUAAUAAGGGGUUGUAGCUUUAGAUCAAUCGCGUUCGGUCUUAGAAUAGUUGAUCGUCAACGUCUUCUUUGUUGACUGCUCGAGUUGAAGAUUCGUCUUCUUAUGCUUCAUUUAGAUGAAGAUUGUUCUUUAGAGGCGUUGGCUCGUAGUUCUUUAUCGGAACUCGUUGUGGAGUUCUUAUCUCAUCUCAAAUAAUUUGGACCUUCUAUGCUUUCACGUUCAUUAUGCCUUCUGUUAUCGGUCGGCUUCACAUUUUUAUCCAUGUGUUCAUUGAGAUCUUAUUGGCCGCUUCAUUUAUCGGUUUAUGUUUAGUUUUGUUUUUCUUUGUUGUUUCUAGCUUUGAUUCCGAGGAGUUAUGUUUACUUUGUCGACUUAUGGCUCUGAAAAGGCUUUGUUAUUUUAUCAAGCUGGUUUCUGGAAAUCUUUGACAAAAGAGUCUCAUUUGUAUUGGUAGAGUUCAAAUGAAGCGUGGUGCUUCAUGCAUGCUAAGUUGCUAACAGAUUCUUAAAAACUAUAUAUCGUUUCAAACUUUCAAUCGGGCAAGCCACCAGCUUUUAGUA